This is a long non-coding RNA of Hippocampus zosterae (dwarf seahorse), 238 nucleotides long. RefSeq lists it as uncharacterized. The record is from RefSeq and is a predicted model, not a curated record. NCBI's taxonomy places the organism in Eukaryota, Metazoa, Chordata, Actinopteri, Syngnathiformes, Syngnathidae. The transcript is spliced from 3 exons.
CCAUCAGCUCGGCGUGCUUUCUUUCCACUGCUCCCUACCAAAUCUAUCAGGUUCUGCCAUCCAACGGUUUGCGUGACACGACCGAGUCGGCGCACCCCCGAGCGAGCGGCGAGGCCCAUCAGCGUUUCUUUCUCCGAAAUGUGGUGAGGGAAGAGGAAGUACAGGUGGCGUCUCCUCUAAUGAUGUCCCCAGCGGAUGACUACAUUACCCAGCAACGCCUGGGCCAGUGAUAGGUGGG